UGCUCUUUACUUUAUUUGGCCAUACUUGUUAAACAUUGCUAAUCAUAUAAUAAUUGGCAACAUUUACUUGAGUAUGUGACACUCUUUUUAAGCGUGUUCUUAUUAUAAUUUAAAACGCAACACUUUAUAAAUGUGCUUAAAAGUCCAACAAAUAUUUGGCUAAAAUAUACUAUUCCCUCAAAAAAAUAUAAUGUUCCCUCCCAUAUUACUCCCAGUGAAAUAUUAUUUUUUCAAUUUCAAAAGGGCAAAAGAUCUCUCUCCUCGUUAAAAUCUCUGUGGGGUACAUUAGUUUAGGGUUUCUGGCUGCAAUACUAUGUACCGACGAAUAUCGAUCCGGAUUAGGUGUUGUUUCUCAUCUUCUCACCCUACUUUGGACAGUGUUUUUGUAUUCAAACUAUCUUCUCAACAGAAGAAUUCCAGUUUCCCCUUUAUCUUAGGUAUUGUUUUGCACCUUCUCGCCCUCCUCGUUCCAGAUUGAAGAAAUUUAUAUAGUUAGAGAAACAUGAAUUCUUCCAAUCUCAGUUUGGUGCUCUUCUAUUUCAAUAUUUUACCAUCUUACGGUCUCUGAUUGUUGUAGUUGCCUAUCUAAUUUGAUACUUAUUCCAGAAAAAAAUGAACUAUAAAUUAAUUAUUCCUCUUCUAGUUUCCAAGAUUAGUAAUUUAUUUUAAAAUCCUUGCAGAUUUGUGAGCCUAAUUCUACAAAUCGGCUUUCUUCAACAAUAUUACUGUUCAAAAACAGAAGUGUUUAAUGUAACCAAAGGUUGUUUAACCAUAUUCGUGUUCAGUAUCAUUUCCUUCUGGGCCUCCUUAUAAUUUGUUCAACGUGGGUUUUCGAAAAAUGUAUUGUAGGAGUAGUAAAGUUGUGUGCUUGCUUGCCAAGAUACUCCUCCAUCAUAUUUUUCUUUGAGGCAAUUGAUUGGAUACCCAAAUCCUUAGCUAAAUUACCAUUGUCCUGCGCUUCUUUGCUUCUUUUAAGGCAUGGUACUACCUCCUUGGAUAAAUGAAGUGUAGGCGUGAGAACAAUGUCAUUUGAAGUACCUAAACAAAGAUCAGCAGUCUUGGCAAUUUUUUGCUCUUUUACACUGUCCGGAGAUCUGGUUUGUCGAUCUUUUAAACCUAUGUCACUCUGCGCCAAUUGCAAUAUAUUCCUAGAAUCCUUCUCACCUUGCUCAUGUACACUAAGCAAAGCAUCACAAGAGUUAGAACACUUGAAGUUUCCUGUGUAGAAUCUAAUCUAGUUGCAUUCAGUUAGUUUGUUUCAUUCCAUAGUUAGUUAUACCACUCACACGUGGCCUGAGUCGUGCUUUGUUCACGGCAAGGUUGUUUCCUAUUUUUCUUGGUCGUGCAUUGAGCACGUAGGUAACAUGGGAAAGGGUCCUGUUAUUUGUUUUGCUUAUUUAAAGCAGCUGGCAUGAUGAAUAAAUACAUAUCUUGCAGCAACAUAGAAAACUCUCAUAUAUCUAGUUGUAUUUGUUUUUCGUGUACAAACUCAAGUGCGAGGUGAUUAUCAUCUGAGCUAGCUAGUGUACUGCACUUGGCAUGAUGAAUAAGGAUACAUAUCUUGCAGCAACAUAGAAAACUCUCUCAUAUCUACUUGUAUUUGUUUUUCGUGUACAAACUCAAGUGCUAGGUGAUUAUCAUCUGAGCUAGCUAGUGUACUGCACUUACAUCCUGUUGCCCUUUCCAGAUUUUUAAGAUCUGAAGCCUCCUUCUUCUUAGGUGAUCUACGCAUAACUGACCAACCCAUAGCCUGGGAUUGUUGCCCAUGUCGAGAUUCUGCUUCAACACCUGAUCCAAUAGUAGCAUCAACAUCUGAACAAGUUGUUUGCACAGCUGAAUCAACAUUGGCAGAUGUACCAAAUUGUUCACCUACUACACAUCAACUUCUCCCUCACGGGAGGAUCGCACCAACAAGACAGACGAGGACGGUGAAGGCGUCGCGUCAUGGUGGAACGUGUGGUGAAGGAGGCAAGCGCAGCGACACUAGUUUUUCCGAUGUUGACACGAACGAACUACAACGGGUGGCGACUCUUGAUGCAAAUCAACCUUGAGGCGAUGGAUCUUUGGGAUGCCAUCG
This 2077-nucleotide long non-coding RNA is filed under the name Nicotiana benthamiana. Its description in RNAcentral is "long non-coding RNA (NBEN_LNC037993)". Lineage: Eukaryota; Viridiplantae; Streptophyta; Magnoliopsida; Solanales; Solanaceae. The record is from RNAcentral.